AUUGAACGCUGGCGGCAUGCUUUACACAUGCAAGUCGAACGGUAACAGGGUGCUUGCACCGCUGACGAGUGGCGAACGGGUGAGUAAUGCGUCGGAACGUACCGAGUAGUGGGGGAUAACGCAGCGAAAGUUGUGCUAAUACCGCAUACGUACUGAGGGGGAAAGCGGGGGAUCGUCGGACCUCGCGCUAGUGGCGCGGCCGGUGGCAGAGUAGGUAGUUGGUGGGGUAAGGGCCUACCAAGCCUGCGAUCUGUACCUGGUUUGGGAGGACGACCAGCCACACUGGGACUGAGACACGGCCCAGACUCCUACGGGAGGCAGCAGUGGGGAAUUUUGGACAAUGGGCGCAAGCCUGAUCCAGCCAUGCCGCGUGCGGGAAGAAGGCCUUCGGGUUGUAAACCGCUUUUGUCGGGGAAGAAACGGUGGAGGUUAAUACCUUCUGCUAAUGACGGUACCCGAAGAAUAAGCACCGGCUAACUACGUGCCAGCCGCCGCCGUAA
This 500-nucleotide ribosomal RNA is filed under the name uncultured bacterium. Its description in RNAcentral is "partial 16S ribosomal RNA". It matches the Rfam family "Bacterial small subunit ribosomal RNA", at positions 29 to 523 of the family's 1533-position model. The record is from RNAcentral.